This 274-nucleotide long non-coding RNA is filed under the name Malus domestica (apple). Its description in RNAcentral is "long non-coding RNA (MDOM_LNC015285)". The record is from RNAcentral. Lineage: Eukaryota; Viridiplantae; Streptophyta; Magnoliopsida; Rosales; Rosaceae.
UGAGGCUGAAAGUUGGGUGAGACUGCUUCACUUUGAAGUUCAACAUUUAUAGAAUUUUCUUAAUGGUUGGGAAGGCAUUGUUCCAUUACUCGUGUCGGCAAGCCUGGGAUAAUUUAACAGUAGUUUUCACGUGCAUUCCGCUUCUCCAAAAAUUUUCGACAGAUUACGCGUGAUUUACGCAACGCAGAUGUGCAAAUUGACAGAUGCUGACACGUCUCGAUAAAGCAGAGGUCUCUUUAAUAUCCAGAAUUUACGCUUCGAGUUCUGAGCUUCG